Molecule: ribosomal RNA, 468 nt
Filed under: uncultured bacterium
Lineage: Bacteria
Description: partial 16S ribosomal RNA
Rfam family: Bacterial small subunit ribosomal RNA
Source: RNAcentral
GACGAACGCUGGCGGCGUGCUUAACACAUGCAAGUCGAACGGACAGGCCCUGCUUUUGUGGGGUGCUCGAGUGGCGAACGGGUGAGUAACACGUGAGUAACCUGCCCUUGACUUUGGGAUAACUUCAGGAAACUGGGGCUAAUACCGGAUAGGAGCUCCUGCUGCAUGGUGGGGGUUGGACAGUUUCGGCGGUUGGGGAUGGACUCGCGGCUUAUCAGCUUGUUGGUGGGGUAGUGGCUUACCAAGGCUUUGACGGGUCGCCGGCCUGAGAGGGUGACCGGCCACAUUGGGACUGAGAUACGGCCCAGACUCCUACGGGAGGCAGCAGUGGGGAAUAUUGCACAAUGGGCGGAAGCCUGAUGCAGCAACGCCGCGUGCGGGAUGACGGCCUUCGGGUUGUAAACCGCUUUCGCCUGUGACGAAGCGUGAGUGACGGUAAUGGGUAAAGAAGCACCGGCUAACUACGUG